RNAcentral lists this transfer RNA (72 nucleotides) under Candidatus Roizmanbacteria bacterium RIFCSPHIGHO2_01_FULL_39_24. Its description in RNAcentral is "tRNA-Val". It matches the Rfam family "tRNA". From Rfam's summary of the family: Transfer RNA (tRNA) molecules are approximately 80 nucleotides in length. Lineage: Bacteria; Candidatus Roizmaniibacteriota. The record is from RNAcentral. RNAcentral also lists the same sequence under 3 other names.
GCGCGCAUAGCUCAGUGGUAGAGCAUUCCGUUCACAUCGGAAAGGUCCGUGGUUCAAAUCCACGUGCGCGUA